This 916-nucleotide long non-coding RNA is filed under the name Homo sapiens (human). RNAcentral describes it as "HSALNT0316961". Lineage: Eukaryota; Metazoa; Chordata; Mammalia; Primates; Hominidae. The record is from RNAcentral.
GUAAACCCAAGCAUCUUGAGAUCACCUUCAGCAGAGUGGAGCAACCAAGAAAAGAACGAAGAACACUCUGCCUAUGGUAACAUCUCCGUUUUCAGAAGCUCAGAAAAGUAAGCUGCUUGCUCAAGAAUGGACGGCUUCAAGGUGGCAGAGCUGGAAGUUUCUAACUCACUCACCUCAUACUCAGACCUGCACUGUUUUUCAAGACAGUCAAUAUUUCAGACAAGGAAUCUGAGACCUGGCUGGGAGAAGAGGACUUGCCUAAAGUUAUCCCACACAGCAAAUUAGUUGGAAAACCAGGAUAGUUGAGUAAAUAUCCUGGAGCCCAGCCAAGUAAUGAAGCCAGAAUUCAGAAAGCUGUUUUGGCUAGAUCUUGGAUUUUUACAAUAAAGGGUCUGUAAGGGAUAUUUGUGAAAAAUGUUGACACUUGACGGCUGUCCUGAUUCAUUCAGCUACCUAGGUUAUCUCUGCCUCUCUUUGACUUGUGUUUUGUCUUUUAAGAUGGCAGUCUUGCUCUUUUGCCUGGGCUGGUCUUGAACUCCUGGGCUCAAGCAGUUUUCCUGCUUUAGCCUCCUGAGUAGCUGGGGCUACAGGAGGACAUCACUGUGCCCAGCUCUCUCCGUAUCUUUGACUAGGUUAUUUUACAACCCCAUACGAUAGAAAUGAAGUUAUAGAAAACUGAUAGGAAUACAAAUAAUUAUUAUCCAUGGAAAUGCAAAUUGGAUCUAAUGGAAUGAAACUGAUUUUUUUUCCAGCAGAUAGUGACCACCUUUGUAUCCUUUUGUAAAUUCAUUUCAGCAUUCCAUAUUUGACUAAAAAUGUGUGACACUCCCAAUUUGCUUUUGAAUUCAUUGUAAUAUCUACCAAUUCCCUCAUUAAUUAAUGAGUUAAAUAAAGCCUUUGGCAUGUAUUUAUUUUG